Piliocolobus tephrosceles (Ugandan red Colobus) is the source of this 1417-nucleotide long non-coding RNA. The record is from Ensembl. NCBI's taxonomy places the organism in Eukaryota, Metazoa, Chordata, Mammalia, Primates, Cercopithecidae.
AUAUUUAUAUUUAUAUUUAUAUUUAUACUUAUUUUAUAUAUUUUAUAUGUUUUUUUUUUUUUUUUGCAUUUUCAUGUAAAGCCCCAUUCAUUCUGAAACAAGAGCAUUAACUUAUAAAUAUUACGCAAAAAAAAAAAAAAAAUAUCAGAAACAAUCGUCUUGCUAUAAUUUAUUUUAUAAGUAAACAAACAACCACUGUCCAUCUAUACAAUAUCCAUUUUUUUUUUUUUUUUUUUUUUUAACACAACAUGUUGGCUGAGAAGGGCACAGGAGAUGUUGAAAAUAUAACAGGUUAUUACUACUUUUAUAUUUUUUACAAAAACCAAUGCAUUUAUAGUAUUAACUUAAGUGUAAAUGAUAAAACUAGCACUGAUAUAAAUAAUAAAAAUGAAGGGAAAAAAAACGAAAUUGAAAAAUUGUUACUCGGAUCUAUAUAUGCAAUUAAUUACUUAUGUUUUAAUAUACAACCAAAUAGAAAAAUAAAAAACCUAUACAAAUCAAUUGAAAGUACAAACAAAAAUAUAAAAAUUAAUACAAAUACAAAUAUAAAAAUACACAACCAAAAUAUUCUCAAUACACAAAGCAACUUACAUGUUGGUAAUUUCAACACUUUUAAUACCCCUUUAUAUAAGUUACAUUACUUUGAAUCAUUAACAGCUUAUAAAUUUGUUAUAAUUACAGAUAAGAAUGUCCCAAGUUUAUCAGCUUUUUUAAAAGAUAUUUAUAAAACCAUUUUUCUUGAUUUAGUAGUUUUAAAUCCUCUUUAUAAUGUAGGAGAUGAAAUAAAAGACAAGGCAUUUGAUGAAAAAAUUUUAAAACUUAUAGAAGCACUAGCAGUUGUAUGAUUAAUUUUUGAAUUUCGAUAAAUAUUGCAAAAUUUAUGUUUUUUUAUGUUUUUUUUUUUUUUUUUUUUUUUUUUUUUUUUUUUUUUUUUUUUUUUGCCACUUCUUCUUUUUCUCCCUCCCCCUGUCGCUCGAUCAUCCGUUUUUUUCUUGUAAAUGCUUGUAUAUAUUUGUACAUUUAUAUACAUAUAUGUAUAUAUUUAUUUUUUCUUUUUACCAAUUUGUACAUUCUGUUACAAUUGUAUACUAUCCGUUUGCAAUUUAAUAUAACGCAACGAACUGUAACUAAUAUCGAAUACGAUAUAUAUAUAUAAACGGCAUAAUUUUACUAUUUUUUUUUUGUUUUUUUUUUUUGUUUUUUUUUUUAUUUUUUUUGUACUUACAAAUACAUACUCAUGUCAUGUGAAAAGUAUAUUAUACGCGCCAACCAUUGUACCGUUCUCUUUAAAUAUCACGUUUGAAAAAAAAAAAUGGUAAUAUCGGCUGAUACAUUUUAUUCCAAAAAAAAAAAUAAUAUAUCAUUGAUAGAUAAAGUUAUAAAUAAAUAUGACAUUUUAAAAAAAAUAGAUAGUUUG